AAAAUGAAAAUGUUUUCCUUCCACGGGCUUGAAUUUAAGAGGAACGCAUUUGGGUUUUUUGCACUGGCUCCAAAUAUUUCAUUUGAAAUCUCUUCUUUUAAAAAGAAAUAGAGUCAAUCAGUGGAGCAGAGUCCUUGGCGGGUUGUGUCUCCUAACGCGUAUUCUCUGUACAGGGGUUACAUGAUGCUACAUGCCGUGGUGGAUGGAAUCAAGAUUGGGAGCCUGGGUUUCUAAAACGCAAAGAAAACACAUGGAUUUAUCAUAUCGUUGAUACCUGCAGACAUGCCAACAGCCAGGACAAAAAUGCGAGUUUCCCUACAGGACUGGUGCCAGGUUUCACACACGUGCCUACGCUCUGCCACAAUUGCUUUGGUCUUCCCUGGAUUAAGUUUUUAACUCGAGCUGCUCAUCUCAGCUGAACUUCAAAAAACUGCAGGAAAGCACAUCAUCUGUUACAGGGAGCAGGGGUGCAGAACCAAGUGAUACGAGAGCACCUGUGCAAUUCCAGCUGAUGCCAUUCCAGAGGCUGAAGAUAUCAGACUCAUUCUGUUUCUUUUUUUUUGUGUCUUAUAUUUAUACUGUGUCCCCCCGGCAUCAGCAAAGAGGCUUGAGCUGGAGAUGGUCACACAGAUGAGCUUGUCCUUUCUGUUUCACUGACUUUCAUCAUCUGUUCAAAAAGUUUUAUACGCUCUGAGCUGCUUAAAGACUUUUGACUUUACAGUUUUUUUCACUGAAAUCCUUGUACCUAUCUCUGAUUGGCUUGAGAAGUGUUAUGCAGACACAGAACCAGAUUGUGGAAGGUCUGUGAAUAAGUAUUUCAGCUGGUUAAUAUUCCCUGCCCGGUGCUGGACAGCAAAGUGUGUCUGUAUGUAUUUAAAUGCCAACCAUUCUAAGCACUGGUUCAAAGCUCAUAUUGCUAAUUGCAAAACCUCAUCAACUUUCUGUGUACCGGAACAGCCCCUCUACACAAAAAAUAAAAAUCAAAGAGCAGAUCAGGUUGAUGGUGUUCUCAGCCAUAUCUGUUUCUGUCAGUAUGCGUUGAGGGACUGAAAGAAAGAGGUGUGUGAAAUUGUUCCCAGGCCGUCCUUGGCUGUGUUUCCCUGCUGCUCUGCCCCACUCUCCCCUUUGGCUGUGCUCAGAGGAGGAACUCUUGUGCAGAAAUGGGGAAAAUCUCAGAGAGAGUGCAUGACCCUCAAAACAGUAGCUUGUCCUUUAUAGAAGAAAGAACUUCCAGCAAGUAGUGGUUUACGUAUCUUUAAGGGAAAGGAAAACUACUUGCAAAUGCAUUACUUUAUCUGCAAUGGAAUUUCAAGUUACUAAUGCAUGGACAGAGGCAUCGAGUGAAUCUUUUCACCUGGGCUUUUGGAAAAUGCUACCCAAGAAAAAAUUAGUUGUGUAAAAACUUCUGUCACGCUUAACUCUGUAAGCAGAGUGACUGCGUAAUUAGCCACACUAGCUGGGGAGGAUGCCACGUUAGAUCAGGUGAGAGAAGCAGAGUUAAAAUAGCACAAAAAUAAGAACCGUGGGGCAGAACUGAUGCUAGAAACUGCCAUCUGCACAUGCAAAGGAAUAUCUGUUGCAUUUUAAAUUCAAGUCAUAGCAGACUUCAGAACCUUUGCUAUUUUGGAAGAGACAGAAAAUCUCCAAAAACAUGCUGAAACAAGGAAGAAGGUGGAACAUUUCUGAAAUACUGAAAACUGGUGUGUGUUGUAUUCCAUCUCUUUUUGGUCAUGAACCUUUGUUCCUAGGUUGGGCGUUUGGCCCACCUCAAGUCCCUCAAUAGGCAGUGGAGAGAGAGGGACUCCUGCUUGGCAUCUCCAAAAGUGGUAAAGCAACCCUGCUUGUUCAUAAAAUCCCUGAGAGCAAUGCAGUGGGCCUUACUGAAAAUUUUAACACAGAAGAUGCUGAAAGAAGUGGGAUAUGGCACAUAUGCCAAAACUGGUCCUAAUUUUCUAUUUCAUAUUUUCAAAAAAGGCCAAAAAAGACUCAGUUUUAGCCAAGCCACUAAGAAAAAAAAUGAAAUGAACGUAUCUGUUCUUACAGUGUGUUUCACAACACAGGAAACUGUCAAUAAAAGCAAUAAAUGGA
Molecule: long non-coding RNA, 2088 nt
Organism: Harpia harpyja (harpy eagle)
Lineage: Eukaryota; Metazoa; Chordata; Aves; Accipitriformes; Accipitridae
Exons: 2
Source: RefSeq, a predicted model, not a curated record